Non-coding RNA from Hordeum vulgare subsp. vulgare (domesticated barley), 136 nucleotides. Lineage: Eukaryota; Viridiplantae; Streptophyta; Magnoliopsida; Poales; Poaceae. The record is from Rfam.
CUCUUACUCCCUCCGUUCUAAAAUUUGUGUCUUAGAUUUGUCUAGAUAUGAAUGUACCUAGUCAUGUUUUAAUAUUUAGAUACAUUCAUUUUUAGACAAACCUAAGACAAGAAUUUUAGGAUGGAGGGAGUAUUUC